Molecule: ribosomal RNA, 460 nt
Filed under: uncultured bacterium
Lineage: Bacteria
Description: partial 16S ribosomal RNA
Rfam family: Bacterial small subunit ribosomal RNA
Source: RNAcentral
CCUACGCGCGGCAGCAGUGAGGAAUAUUGGUCAAUGGACGCAAGUCUGAACCAGCCAUGCCGCGUGCAGGAAGACGGCUCUAUGAGUUGUAAACUGCUUUUGUACGAGGGUAAACGCAGAUACGCGUAUCUGUCUGAAAGUAUCGUACGAAUAAGGAUCGGCUAACUCCGUGCCAGUAGCCGCGGUAAUACGGAGGAUUCAAGCGUUAUCCGGAUUUAUUGGGUUUAAAGGGUGCGUAGGCGGUCGGAUAAGUUAGAGGUGAAAUCCCGAGGCUCAACUUCGGAAUUGCCUCUGAUACUGUUCGGCUAGAGAGUAGUUGCGGUAGGCGGAAUGUAUGGUGUAGCGGUGAAAUGCUUAGAGAUCAUACAGAACACCGAUUGCGAAGGCAGCUUACCAAGCUACUUCUGACGUUGAGGCACGAAAGCGUGGGGAGCAAACAGGAUUAGAUACCCCAGUAGUC